CCGAUAUAGCUCAGUUGGUAGAGCGGCUGAUUCGUAAUCAGCAGGUCAAGGGUCCGAGUCCCUUUAUCGG
RNAcentral lists this transfer RNA (70 nucleotides) under bovine gut metagenome. It matches the Rfam family "tRNA". From Rfam's summary of the family: Transfer RNA (tRNA) molecules are approximately 80 nucleotides in length. Their secondary structure includes four short double-helical elements and three loops (D, anti-codon, and T loops). Further hydrogen bonds mediate the characteristic L-shaped molecular structure. tRNAs have two regions of fundamental functional importance: the anti-codon, which is responsible for specific mRNA codon recognition, and the 3' end, to which the tRNAs corresponding amino acid is attached (by aminoacyl-tRNA synthetases). tRNAs cope with the degeneracy of the genetic code in two manners: having more than one tRNA (with a specific anti-codon) for a particular amino acid; and 'wobble' base-pairing, i.e. permitting non-standard base-pairing at the 3rd anti-codon position. The record is from RNAcentral.